UAAUGGCGGCAGCGGUGUCCUACGGGAGGCAGCAGUGGGGAAUUUUGGACAAUGGGGGCAACCCUGAUCCAGCAAUGCCGCGUGUGUGAAGAAGGCCUUCGGGUUGUAAAGCACUUUUGUCCGGAAAGAAAACUUCGUCCCUAAUAUGGAUGGAGGAUGACGGUACCGGAAGAAUAAGCACCGGCUAACUACGUGCCAGCAGCCGCGGUAAUACGUAGGGUGCGAGCGUUAAUCGGAAUUACUGGGCGUAAAGCGUGCGCAGGCGGUCUGUUAAGACCGAUGUGAAAUCCCCGGGCUUAACCUGGGAACUGCAUUGGUGACUGGCAGGCUUUGAGUGUGGCAGAGGGAGGUAGAAUUCCACGUGUAGCAGUGAAAUGCGUAGAGAUGUGGAGGAAUACCGAUGGCGAAGGCAGCCUCCUGGGCCAACACUGACGCUCAUGCACGAAAGCGUGGGGAGCAAACAGGAUUAGAUACCCAGGUAGCCCACGCCCUAAACGAUGUCAACUAGUUGUUGGGGAUUCAUCUCCUUAGUAGGGGUAGCUUAGGCGG
RNAcentral lists this ribosomal RNA (549 nucleotides) under uncultured Burkholderia sp. Its description in RNAcentral is "bacterial SSU rRNA". It matches the Rfam family "Bacterial small subunit ribosomal RNA", at positions 320 to 860 of the family's 1533-position model. The record is from RNAcentral. Lineage: Bacteria; Pseudomonadati; Pseudomonadota; Betaproteobacteria; Burkholderiales; Burkholderiaceae.